AUGACUAUGGCGAAAUAGGUAGACGCGAUUAAUUUAGGAUUAAUUAUUAUAAAGGUUCAAAUCCUUUUAGUCAUAU
Molecule: transfer RNA, 76 nt
Filed under: Metschnikowia agaves
Lineage: Eukaryota; Fungi; Ascomycota; Pichiomycetes; Serinales; Metschnikowiaceae
Description: tRNA-Thr
Rfam family: tRNA
About the family: Transfer RNA (tRNA) molecules are approximately 80 nucleotides in length. Their secondary structure includes four short double-helical elements and three loops (D, anti-codon, and T loops). Further hydrogen bonds mediate the characteristic L-shaped molecular structure. tRNAs have two regions of fundamental functional importance: the anti-codon, which is responsible for specific mRNA codon recognition, and the 3' end, to which the tRNAs corresponding amino acid is attached (by aminoacyl-tRNA synthetases). tRNAs cope with the degeneracy of the genetic code in two manners: having more than one tRNA (with a specific anti-codon) for a particular amino acid; and 'wobble' base-pairing, i.e. permitting non-standard base-pairing at the 3rd anti-codon position.
Source: RNAcentral